RNAcentral lists this ribosomal RNA (388 nucleotides) under uncultured bacterium. RNAcentral describes it as "bacterial SSU rRNA". It matches the Rfam family "Bacterial small subunit ribosomal RNA", at positions 28 to 410 of the family's 1533-position model. The record is from RNAcentral.
GACGAACGCUGGCGGCGUGCCUAACACAUGUAAGUCGCACGGGACCGGGGGCAACUCCGGUUCAGUGGGCAGACGGGUGCGUAACACGUGAAGAACCUGUCCAACGGCGGGGGAUAGCCGGCCCAACGGCCGGGUAAUACCGCAUACGAUCGUUCGGGGGCAUCCCUGGGCGAUGAAAGCAGCCGCAAGGUUGCGCCGAUGGAGGGCUUCGCGGCCUAUCAGCUAGUUGGCGGGUAACGGCCCACCAAGGCAACGACGGGUAGCUGGUCUGAGAGGAUGGCCAGCCACAUUGGGACUGAGACACGGCCCAGACUCCUACGGGAGGCAGCAGUGGGGAAUCUUGCGCAAUGGGCGAAAGCCCUGACGCAGCGACGCCGCGUGAGGGAUG